GUGCUUGCUUCAGCAGCACAUAUACUAAAAUUGGAAGGACACAGAGAAGAUUAGCAUGGCCCCUGCACAAGGAUGACACACAAAUUCGUGAAGCGUUCCAUAUUUAA
This 107-nucleotide small nuclear RNA is filed under the name Tursiops truncatus (common bottlenose dolphin). The record is from RNAcentral. Lineage: Eukaryota; Metazoa; Chordata; Mammalia; Artiodactyla; Delphinidae.